GACAGAGGGUGCAAACGUUGUUCGGAUUUACUGGGCGUAAAGCGCGUGUAGGCGGCUUGGUAAGUCGGGUGUGAAAUCCCAGGGCUCAACCCUGGAAGUGCAUUCGAAACUGCUCGGCUAGAGUUCUGGAGAGGAAGGUGGAAUGCUUGGUGUAGAGGUGAAAUUCGUAGAUAUCGGAAGGAACACCAGUGGCGAAAGCGGCUUCCUGGUCCAGCACCGACGUUCAGGCACGAAAGCGUGGGGAGCAAACAGG
RNAcentral lists this ribosomal RNA (253 nucleotides) under uncultured bacterium. RNAcentral's name for it is "partial 16S ribosomal RNA". It matches the Rfam family "Bacterial small subunit ribosomal RNA", at positions 524 to 776 of the family's 1533-position model. The record is from RNAcentral.